RNAcentral lists this transfer RNA (91 nucleotides) under Thermosipho ferrireducens. Its description in RNAcentral is "Thermosipho sp. JL129W03 tRNA-Ser". It matches the Rfam family "tRNA". Rfam says of the family: Transfer RNA (tRNA) molecules are approximately 80 nucleotides in length. The record is from RNAcentral. Lineage: Bacteria; Thermotogati; Thermotogota; Thermotogae; Thermotogales; Fervidobacteriaceae.
GGAGAGGUGGCCGAGGGGUCGAAGGCGCACGCCUGGAGAGCGUGUGACGUCCGAAAGACGUCCGUGGGUUCAAAUCCCACCCUCUCCGCCA